GGCCCCGUAGCUCAGUAGGAUAGAGCGAGACACUCCUAACGUCUAGGUCGCAGGUUCGAUUCCUGCCGGGGUCACCA
RNAcentral lists this transfer RNA (77 nucleotides) under bacterium. Its description in RNAcentral is "tRNA-Arg". It matches the Rfam family "tRNA". Rfam says of the family: Transfer RNA (tRNA) molecules are approximately 80 nucleotides in length. Their secondary structure includes four short double-helical elements and three loops (D, anti-codon, and T loops). Further hydrogen bonds mediate the characteristic L-shaped molecular structure. tRNAs have two regions of fundamental functional importance: the anti-codon, which is responsible for specific mRNA codon recognition, and the 3' end, to which the tRNAs corresponding amino acid is attached (by aminoacyl-tRNA synthetases). tRNAs cope with the degeneracy of the genetic code in two manners: having more than one tRNA (with a specific anti-codon) for a particular amino acid; and 'wobble' base-pairing, i.e. permitting non-standard base-pairing at the 3rd anti-codon position. The record is from RNAcentral.